This 1355-nucleotide ribosomal RNA is filed under the name uncultured bacterium. Its description in RNAcentral is "bacterial SSU rRNA". It matches the Rfam family "Bacterial small subunit ribosomal RNA", at positions 28 to 1381 of the family's 1533-position model. The record is from RNAcentral.
AUUGAACGCUGGCGGCAGGCUUAACACAUGCAAGUCGAACGAUGAUUAUCUAGCUUGCUAGAUAUGAUUAGUGGCGGACGGGUGAGUAACAUUUAGGAAUCUGCCUAGUAGUGGGGGAUAGCUCGGGGAAACUCGAAUUAAUACCGCAUACGACCUACGGGUGAAAGGGGGCGCAAGCUCUUGCUAUUAGAUGAGCCUAAAUCAGAUUAGCUAGUUGGUGGGGUAAAGGCCCACCAAGGCGACGAUCUGUAACUGGUCUGAGAGGAUGAUCAGUCACACCGGAACUGAGACACGGUCCGGACUCCUACGGGAGGCAGCAGUGGGGAAUAUUGGACAAUGGGGGCAACCCUGAUCCAGCCAUGCCGCGUGUGUGAAGAAGGCCUUUUGGUUGUAAAGCACUUUAAGCAGGGAGGAGAGGCUAAUGGUUAAUACCCAUUAGAUUAGACGUUACCUGCAGAAUAAGCACCGGCUAACUCUGUGCCAGCAGCCGCGGUAAUACAGAGGGUGCGAGCGUUAAUCGGAAUUACUGGGCGUAAAGCGAGUGUAGGUGGCUCAUUAAGUCACAUGUGAAAUCCCCGGGCUUAACCUGGGAACUGCAUGUGAUACUGGUGGUGCUAGAAUAUGUGAGAGGGAAGUAGAAUUCCAGGUGUAGCGGUGAAAUGCGUAGAGAUCUGGAGGAAUACCGAUGGCGAAGGCAGCUUCCUGGCAUAAUAUUGACACUGAGAUUCGAAAGCGUGGGUAGCAAACAGGAUUAGAUACCCUGGUAGUCCACGCCGUAAACGAUGUCUACUAGCCGUUGGGGUCCUUGAGACUUUAGUGGCGCAGUUAACGCGAUAAGUAGACCGCCUGGGGAGUACGGCCGCAAGGUUAAAACUCAAAUGAAUUGACGGGGGCCCGCACAAGCGGUGGAGCAUGUGGUUUAAUUUGAUGCAACGCGAAGAACCUUACCUGGUCUUGACAUAGUGAGAAUCCUGCAGAGAUGCGGGAGUGCCUUCGGGAAUUCACAUACAGGUGCUGCAUGGCUGUCGUCAGCUCGUGUCGUGAGAUGUUGGGUUAAGUCCCGCAACGAGCGCAACCCUUUUCCUUAUUUGCCAGCGGGUUAAGCCGGGAACUUUAAGGAUACUGCCAGUGACAAACUGGAGGAAGGCGGGGACGACGUCAAGUCAUCAUGGCCCUUACGACCAGGGCUACACACGUGCUACAAUGGUAGGUACAGAGGGUUGCUACACAGCGAUGUGAUGCUAAUCUCAAAAAGCCUAUCGUAGUCCGGAUUGGAGUCUGCAACUCGACUCCAUGAAGUCGGAAUCGCUAGUAAUCGCGGAUCAGAAUGCCGCGGUGAAUACGUUCCCGGGCCU